Molecule: long non-coding RNA, 4804 nt
Filed under: Homo sapiens (human)
Lineage: Eukaryota; Metazoa; Chordata; Mammalia; Primates; Hominidae
Description: HSALNT0385819
Source: RNAcentral
GGGUGGCGCGCGGCAGCAGGGUUGGGCUCUCGCCGUGAGUCGACGAAGGGAGCGCGGGCGCGCGCCCGCGUCCGCGCACUGAGAGUCGCCUCGGCCGCUCGCUUUCUCGACUCCCGCCUCGCGCCUCGAUCCUGUUCCGCCUCCCUCGGCCCUCCUGCCCGCCCCCACUCGUCGGCCCUCAGAUCUUUCUGAGACAUCCCCAGAAAGCGUUGCAAGCUGUGAUUACACCUAAUGUGAGAGCAUGAACUAAUUUAAGAGGUGAGAGCUGCAUAAUGAGGCUGCCUCCCGUGUAGCAGCCAAGACUGGCAGCUCUGGCGGCGCGCUGGAGGGGACCGGGAGGGGCACCCUUGUAGAACCAGUCCCUGGCGCCCUGGGAUCUUCUCAGUGCCCUGGCGCUGUGUUGUCGGUCACUCCACAGAUAUUACAGGGUGCCUCCUGAAUGCCGGGUUGCAAUCAAGAGCAAGAGAUGGGGCGAGUGAAAGAGCCUGUUUUCAGGAGCUCAGCAUCAGGAUGACGAUUACCUAGAGGGAGGUGGUGGCCAGCCUCCCCCUCUUCUCUUCAUGCUGAGGCUCUGGUGGGCAGUGCCCAAGCCUGAACUGCCAUCUGUAUGCCAGUGGUUACCCAACUUGUAUUUUCAGUCUUAGCCUCUCUCUGGUCCAGACUUGUCAUUCUAAGGGCCCUUUUUCACUGACUCACAUUGUCUCCUCCCUCCCUGCCUUCCAAACUCAGCCUUUUCCUUUUUCCCUUUCCCACUGACAACAGCUGCACGACCCCCCCGCCCCCCCACGAGGUGAAAAUUCCCAAGAACCCCAUGUCUAACCUAACUCCCUCUCUAUGUCCUGUUGCUUGAGCCAUUCUCAUUAGGCUGCCUGUUCGGAGUUCAUUAUCUCCUAAUUUUUCAUCCAGGAAUUGAUGAAGAAUCACCUACUGCCUCUCCCACACACUGUUUAUUCUUUCAUUUGAUGAUAUCUGUUAAGUGCCCUGAGAUAUGUAACCUCCACUUCCCUCCCAUAUAAGUGAGAUUUCACGUUGAUUACUUCCUUGGCUUUCCUCAUCCCUUAUCCACAUAGCAUGUGUUCAAAAUAAUGAAUAUUAAUUUAAUGUUAAUAGAUAUGUGCUUUCCUGAAUUGUGAGGAUUAAAUGAAAUCAUGUAUAUAGGGAGGAAAAUCCAUUAGAAACCUCAAAAGCAGUUAUGUUUAUUUUUGCUAUUGUCACAUUGUUAGAGUCAGAAUUCUUUUAGCUGCAAGUGACAAAACCAACUCAAACUGGCUUAAGGACUUUAUUGGUUGAUGCAAAAAGCCUCGGGUUAGGUCUUGCCAUUUAAGGUAGGGCUGGAUCCAUCAAUCCGGGUUACCAGGAUCUGUUUUCUAGUUGUGGCUUCAUUUUCAGACAAGUUGUUUCCAUAUGAUAGCCUCAUAGAAGGUACUACCAGCUUAGUCCUAGCAAGAAAAAAGAGUACUUACUCUUCAAUAUUUGCAGCAGAAGUCCCAGGUCUGUUCUUAUGAGGGCAGUUUGAGUCACUUGCUCUUCUCUGAACGUGGAGAAGGCACUGUUUAGAUGAUGGAGGUUGGAUUCAGGUGCAUCCCCUGGAAUGGGGUUUGGCAUUAGCUUCACGUGGUCUAGAAUAAAGGGGUUCUCCAAAGGAAAAUUAGGGUAGGAAUGCUGAGUAAGCAGAACAAACAGAUGUCUACUUUAGUCCUUCCCAAAGGGUGAGCUGCAAUACAUUGCAGACUAUCAGAAUGGUGAUGAACACGGAUGCAGUAGCCAAGAAAAUAGAUGUGUGUUUGUCGUGGUCUUUUUCAGUCUUCAAGAUCUCAGUUAAACAUGAAGUCAACCACUCACUAUGAUGUUAUUUGAGGUUUAGCUUUGAAGUGGAAAUGUACCACAAAUAGUAGAGCCAGAUAAAUACAAAUAAAUAAUUUUAACAGUCCAUUCUAAAAGAUUUCUUUGGUAAUAUUCUGUUGGAAUUGAUUUCUAUCUUUUCAUUUGUUAGGUUCCUGGAAAGUGAAAAUUUCAUUUCUUUGUGGACAGGUACCUAAAAUGUCUCAUUAUUCAUCAAUUAAUGAAAAACAAAUGAAAAUUUGAGAGAGAUAUUCUGAAGAAUAAAAGGAUCAAGUUGGGUCAUUUCUAAAAUCUCAGAGACCUAAUAGGAUGGGGUCUUAGAGAAACAUCUUUUGAGCCACAGACUUCUUUGUUACCAGAAGGAAAAUGAAAGAAGAAAUUUAAAUACCACUUGAAGAGAGCUGAUCGCCACCAACUGGCCUCUGGGUGGAUUUGGCCAAUGGAAGCACCUGUAGAGGGAAGAGAGUGAGGUUAGGAUAUUUCUUCCUGCUGUCUCCGUGCUUCCCUGCAGAGAGUGUGAAGAAAUGACCCUGAAAAGCCUCUGGCAGAGGAUUCUUCUUUCAGGAUGGUGUCGCCUCCUCAGCAGCCCAUCCUCCUCCCCUGGACUCAAGCUCUCAUUCCAGUAACACUCCUUCCUCCUUCUCCAUCUUCAGGGGGAGGUUUGCCAGUCGGUGGGUUCUAAGCAUAUCUCGCUGAUUCCCCCCAACCCUGCCGACACCUCUGUAGGUCGUCCCUUCAUUAAAAUCUCUCCAUUUGAACUAUCUGAGUUUAAUUCCAUUUCCUCCUGGUAUCUCAGUGAUACACGGUAUCAGUACAAAAAUCUCGCUUCACCUUCAGAACCAACAGAUUUGAGACAUUUUAUCCUCUGUGGAACCAUUAGUUAUUUUGUCAUUGGUUGUAUCAGAAAAAAAAAUCAGGAAUGCAAAUCCUUCUUUAUUACAGAUUCAGAUUUGCAUAUUACCAAUGUUAUAUAUUUUAAACAAAACUAUUCAUCAUAAGUUUUAAAAAUUAACUACUGGAGUAGUUAAUGAAUCUGAAUGUAAUUAUGUAGCUUUCAUAAUAUUAAAGUAAAAAUACUAAAAGAAGUAUUUCUUAAAGAAGCAAAUGCUCAAUCUCCAAGUAAAUUUUAUUCUAUGCUCUUCCGGUAUAAGAAUAUGUUAAUAUCUUGAAAAAUAUCAUAUUAUUUUGUGAACUCAUAAAGCUAUUUUGAGUUUUUGUAAAAUGAAAACCUUACCAAAAUGUAUUUUAUUGUUGGAAAGCUUGACCGUUACUGCUGUUUAAUUUUUUGAGCUUGUAAACUUUAUUUGUGCAUGUUUUCAACAAAGAAGGAUUUUAUUGUUAUUACAUAAAACAGGUGAUUUCUAGAUUUUAAAAUCACAAAUUGAAAGCAAGGCACAAUAAUAUAUAUUUCAAGAUAUAGGUACUUAGGAGGCAUCCUUUUAGUCAUCUGUUCAAUGUAGCCAUCUAUUUUACACCUACUGUCUACUAUUGUUUGAGGUCCUUGCCAAAGUAUUGCAGGCUAGUUAGGAAACAUAAAACAAUUAGAAAGUAAUCUAUGACAAGUAAGCUAUCUAUAAAUGGCAAUGAAGGGUAGAACAAAUUCAAUGAAAAUAUCUAUUUAAUCCUAGUGUUUACUGGUCUAGAAGAAUAGGCUGAGUAAAUUAGUAUUUCUCUGGCUGUUGUGGUAACACAUUGCAUGCUAUAACAGUUUUAAGUAAUUACAGGUGCAUUGAAAUUUAUCUAUGGCUUUGUCAUCAUAUUCUAAAAUGUCAUGAGUACUUUUUUCUGACCUCAAUUACUAUGAAAUUGGUUUCCAAUAUUUAAUUAACCAAGAAUAUCAAGUCUAUAGGGUAUUAUUAAGGUGAGACUUCUGUAGCCUUUUCAAUAAAGACCAGAAUUUUGGAGUGCCUUGAACCUUAAUCAUUGAUCUUUAAUUCUUAUUAAGUCAACUGCCCACCUUUUAAAGACUGAGGCCCAGGAAGAGUAAGUUUCUCUGAGACAAUGCAUACAGUACAGUGCUUCUUGGGUAUUGGCUCUAAGACCAGAUGCAAAGAAAGGCUAAAAUCCCAUUUCAUUGUUCAUUAGGUGAGAACCCUUUGUUAAGCUGUGUAACCUCUGUGCAUAGUUUCCUCAUCAGCAAAGUCAGAAAAAGUAUGUACCUGAAGGACUGAUUGUAAGGCUGGGAUGAGAGAAUCCAUGUGAUCAGCCCUCACCAACAGGUGCUGCCCAGUUCAUGAGUGCUGCUGCUGUCCUGCCCAAGUACCCAGCUUGCAGAGUGCCAGAGUUAGAGUCCCAGGGGUGUUCUCCACAGCUGCAUGCUUGAUCCAGGCCUAUCAGAUAUAUUCCAUUGAAAGUCCUCAUUCUCAAAUUUAAAACAAAGACUUUUUGUGUACCUCAAUAGCAAUGCACACACAGUUGGCUUCACAAACAUAUUGUACAUUUCUUUUUUUCAUAUUUAUUCAACAAAUGUAUAUUGACUACCCACCGUGUGACAGGUGUUAUUUGUUGACGGAACCAGGCAUCAUCAGCAAACAAAACUGACAAAGCUUCCUGCCCUCUGUGGAAGGCAUCUGAGGAAGAGACUGGAUUUUGUAGCAACAUGUUAUUCUCAUUAUAAACUUUAUCAUUGGAAUACUAAAGCCAAAUCAUCCCCCAUCUCCUUGAUCAGGAUACCCACUUAAUCUAGGCAGCUACACAAUUGUGAGAGCCUUUGUUUUUUUCUGCUGAAACAUCCUUAAAAAGAUACCUCACAACCCAAGAUUUGGCUUUUCUUAAAUACGAUUUUUAAUUUUUUUCAUUUCUAUCUAGAGAUUUAAUUGGAAAUGGAAAAUCAUCAAUUUUCCAAUUAAAUGUCUGUUCCAAUCAACAUUAUACCUUUUAGGUUGUCAUUGUCAUUUUUAAGUUUAAGCAACUUUAAGGAUUUUGAAUCUGGCUGCCUGUAAAUUAAAGGUGAAAGUAAUCA